Small nucleolar RNA from Talpa occidentalis (Iberian mole), 138 nucleotides. RefSeq annotates it as small nucleolar RNA SNORD10. The record is from RefSeq and is a predicted model, not a curated record. Lineage: Eukaryota; Metazoa; Chordata; Mammalia; Eulipotyphla; Talpidae. The transcript has a single exon.
GCUCUGUGAUGAACCCCAUGCGUGUCAUCUGAGCCUGGCUCCCUUGUCACAGCCCCAGGUAGUGUUCUACCACCUCGGGCUAUUGUCCAGCCUGGCAGGGGGCCCCAGGCAAAGGAUCAGUCUUUGUGUUCUGAGAGC